GUCUCGUGUGAUACUUCUUUUUUAUGGGUAUAUCAACACAUACUAAUCUAUCUAAUUAAUCUACACGAGUACGUACUCGCCUAACCUUGGCACAAGGGUGGGAGCAGUCUUCAGUGUUGCCGGAUAUCUGAUAAUUAUCUGAUUCUUUAAUAAAACAUAUCUCCAAAAAACUUUGUAAUUUUGUAUCUGUACAUUAAAUCUUGAUUUUGGCUGAAGUGAGAAUAACUGUGACAUAUUACGUAAAGUGGUAAAGUAGAUGUUAAUAUCAAUUGUUAUACUAUAUGAAACUUUUUGGCACCUUUAGGACUUUCUUGCUAAAUAUCAUUCAUUUUGGAUUGAAAAUGAAAAAAAGAAACAAAAAAAAAACUGGAGCAGUGGAGCAGUCAAGAUUUUCUGUGCUCUGGCUCUGCUCCAGCUCCAGGCAAAAACUUGCAACUCUACUGCUCCAUGCUCCGGCUCCGGGCUCCGAGCCAAAGCCCUGACAAAAAGAACCUUUGAAGGGCUAGGAGAAGGAAAGUAAGAAUGAGAUAUGGGUGGGGGGAGAGGGAGGAGAAAAAAUAGUGAGAGGGAAAGAAGAAUAGGUGUCAUAGGGUGACAACUAGAGAGACAUAUAGGAGAGAAGGAGAGAAAUAGAUGGAAGUGAAGGCUAUAAUGUAAGAGUCAGAGGGAUAGAGACAAAGGAGAGCCAUAGAGGGGAGUCCAGACUUGAAAGAAAGAAAGUCCAGAAAGAAAGCAAAAUAAUUCAGGCCCCAAUUCAGCAAAGUACAUAAGCACCUAACUAAGCCUCUUCCAUUUAGCGAAGCACUUUCCCACAUGCCUAAAUUUAAGCAUAUGCUUAGGCUUGAUUGGCUUAAAUGGGAUUUAAGCAUUGCUUAAGUGAUUUACUGAAUCCUAAAUGAGUAAGGAAAAAAAAGGGAGAGAAAGAAAAUGGAAUAGAGAUACAAGAAAAGUGAGAGAUUGAAAAAAAGAGAAGGGAAAAGAAGAAAAUGGAAAAAGGGAAGAAAAUAUAUGA
Molecule: long non-coding RNA, 1012 nt
Organism: Dermochelys coriacea (leatherback sea turtle)
Lineage: Eukaryota; Metazoa; Chordata; Testudines; Dermochelyidae
Exons: 4
Source: RefSeq, a predicted model, not a curated record